This 909-nucleotide ribosomal RNA is filed under the name uncultured bacterium. RNAcentral's name for it is "bacterial SSU rRNA". It matches the Rfam family "Bacterial small subunit ribosomal RNA", at positions 1 to 914 of the family's 1533-position model. The record is from RNAcentral.
CCGCGGGAUUAGAGUUUGAUCCUGGCUCAGGAUAAACGCUGGCGGCGUGCCUAACACAUGCAAGUCGAACGCCCUUUUCUGCCGCAAGGUGGAAGAGGGAGUGGCGGACGGGUGAGGAACACGUGGGUGACCUACCUUUCAGUGAGGAAUACCGGCGAGAAAUCGCCGACAAGACCGCAUACGCUUCUCUGUUCAAUCGGGGAAGGAAAGCUUUUUCGCAAGAGGAGGCGCUGGAAGAUGGGCCUGCGGCCGAUUAGCUAGCUGGUGGGGUAAUGGCCUACCAGGGCGACGAUCGGUAGCUGGUCUGAGAGGACGAUCAGCCACACUGGGAUUGAGAACGGCCCAGACUCCUACGGGGGGCAGCAGUGAGGAAUUUUCGGCAAUGGGGGCAACCCUGACCGAGCAACGCCGCGUGCAGGAGGAAGGUCUUCGGAUCGUAAACUGCUUUUCUGUGGGAAGAGAACGGACGGUACCACAGGAAGAAGCCCCGGCUAACUACGUGCCAGCAGCCGCGGUAAUACGUAGGGGGCGAGCGUUGUCCGGAGUUACUGGGCGUAAAGCGCACGCAGGCGGUCGUAUAAGUUUGGGGUGACAGUUGCCGGCUUAACCGGGAAAGUGCCUCAAAGACUGUACGACUUGAGGGCCACAGAGGGACAUGGAACUCCAGGUGUAGUGGUGAAAUGUGUAGAUAUCUGGAAGAACACCAAAGGCGAAGGCAGUGUCCUGGGUGGUACCUGACGCUCAGGUGCGAAAGCCAGGGGAGCGAACGGGAUUAGAUACCCCGGUAGUCCUGGCCGUAAACGAUGACCACUAGAUGUGCGGGGUAUCGACCCCCUGCGUGUCGGAGCANACGCGAUAAGUGGUCCGCCUGGGGAGUACGGUCGCAAGAUUAAACUCAAAGGAAUUGAC